CUUCUCUCUCUCUGGUUCCUCAUCGGCUCAUCCAGCAACUGAGCAAAUCGAGCGAAAGGGUGAAGCCAAGGGGCAGCGGGGAGCAGGAACUGUAGGCGUUACGUGGCGGCCUGGCCCGCGCAGUUCAGCGUUGAGCUCGUCCUCUCAAAGUCUCACGCGCCCCGGCCCCCUACUGCUGCCACUUGAUUACUAUCUCGCUCCUCGACUGCAGGCAGAAGGAAGGAAGGAAGGAAGGAAGUGGUGCCACGGCGGCCGGACCGGACCGGGAGUUGCUAACGACCACACACCUGACAUGUCCUUCGCCAUAUCUGACAUCUCCGUCAGAGCGCAGCAGCCUGCCUAGGCGAUAAGCCCACCGAAUGGCCACCAUGGGCAUGGUCCGAGCAUGCGCGCCUCCUGCCGCCGCACCCUCCACCAGGGACGCUGCCCAGGUGAAGAGGUCGUCCUCGAGGACCGCCCGCGUGCUCGUGCUCGGCGGCACCGGCCGCGUCGGCGGCUCCGCGGCCACCGCGCUCUCCAAGCUCCGCCCCGACCUCAGCAUCCUCGUCGGAGGAAGGAACCGGGAAAAAGGCGAAUCCUUCGCAUCUAAACUCGGAGAGCGAUCUGAGUUUGUCCAAGUUGAUACCCGCAACGCAAGAGUGUUGGAGGAAGCGCUACAGGGGCUUGACUACCUUAAAUCUCUCUCCCCAGGUGUGGAUUUAGUUGUCCAUACUGCUGGGCCUUUCCAAAGGGCGGAGGAGUGCACCGUAUUGCAGGCAGCGAUAUCUACAAAGACAGCAUAUAUUGAUGUUUGCGACGACACUGACUAUUCCUGGCGAGCAAAAGGUUUCCAUGAACAAGCGAAAUCCGCUGGCGUCCCAGCUAUUACUACUGCCGGCAUAUAUCCUGGAGUGAGCAAUGUGAUGGCUGCUGAACUUGUCAAUGCUGCAAGAAGUCAAAAUGAUGGCGAACCAGAAAGACUAAGAUUCUUUUACUAUACUGCAGGUUCUGGUGGUGCGGGUCCAACAAUACUAACAACAAGUUUCCUGCUUCUUGGGGAGGAUGUAAUUGCAUACAACAAGGGAGAAGAAAUCAAACUGAAGCCCUACAGUGGAGCUCUGAACAUUGAUUUUGGAAAGGGGGUCAGAAAGAAAAAUGUUUACUUAUUGAAUUUGCCUGAAGUGAAGAGUGCCUUUAAGAUUUUAGGUGUGCCAACUGUCAGUGCUCGAUUUGGUACUUAUCCUUUUUUCUGGAAUUGGGGAAUGCAGGCUUUCGCAAACUUCUUACCUGUUGAGUUCUUGAGGGAUAAAAAUAAGGUUCAAAAGUUAGUCAAGUCAGUUGAUCCUUUGGUCCGAGCAAUUGAUGUCAUUGCAGGAGAGCGUGUCUCCAUGAGAGUAGACUUAGACUGUUCAAAUGGUCGGAAUACCGUCGGACUAUUUACUCAUAAGAAGCUAUUUGUUGGGCUUUGCAACAGCUGCAUUUGCUUUGGCGGUUCUUGAGGGCAACACCCAGCCAGGUGUUUGGUUUCCAGAAGAGCCAGAGGGAAUAGCAGUCGAAGCAAGGAAGCUUCUUCUUGAGCGUGCAUCUCAAGGGACAAGCAACUUCGUGAUGAACAAGCCUUCCUGGAUGGUAGAAACUGAUCCAAAGGAAGUCGGGCUAGGAAUUUAUGUGUGAGAAGAUUGAGUGUUCUUAAAUUCUUGGAUAUUUGACAGAGCUUGACUAAAUCUUAGGAGUAAAGAGAAGUUGAAUGUGACAGCCAGCACCCAGCAGCAUGUUGAAGUCCCUCAGAUUGAGCAAGAGUUUUUUUUUAAUGAUUGGUUGGGCUAUCUUUAUUUUGAAAGGGUUGUAUACAAAAAUGAUGGUUAUAAGGGGAAAAACUAUUAUGGGAGGAUAAAACAGUUUUGUGCACCACAAGCCAUACACUUGAAUGGUAGUGGAAGCACGGUAAAUACAGCAUCCUAGACCCAGAA
Molecule: RNA transcript, 1949 nt
Organism: Panicum virgatum (switchgrass)
Lineage: Eukaryota; Viridiplantae; Streptophyta; Magnoliopsida; Poales; Poaceae
Exons: 13
Source: RefSeq, a predicted model, not a curated record